AGUGAACGCUGGCGGUAGGCCUAACACAUGCAAGUCGAACGGCAGCACAGUAAGAGCUUGCUCUUACGGGUGGCGAGUGGCGGACGGGUGAGGAAUACACCGGAAUCUACUUUUUCGUGGGGGAUAACGUAGGGAAACUUACGCUAAUACCGCAUACGACCUACGGGUGAAAGCAGGGGAUCUUCGGACCUUGCGCGAUUGAAUGAGCCGAUGUCGGAGUAGCUAGUUGGCGGGGUAAAGGCCCACCAAGGCGACGAUCCGUAGCUGGUCUGAGAGGAUGAUCCGCCACACUGGAGCUGAGACACGGUCCACACUCCUACGGGAGGCAGCAGUGGGGACUAUUAGACAAUGGGCGAAAGCCUAAUACAGCCAUACCGCGUGGGUGAAGAAGCCCUUCGGGUUGUAAAGCCCUUUUGUUGGGAAAGAAGAGAAGCAGGUUAAUCCCCCGCUGUUCUGACGGUACCCAAAGAAUAAGCACCGGCUAACUCCGUG
This 492-nucleotide ribosomal RNA is filed under the name uncultured bacterium. Its description in RNAcentral is "partial 16S ribosomal RNA". It matches the Rfam family "Bacterial small subunit ribosomal RNA", at positions 29 to 507 of the family's 1533-position model. The record is from RNAcentral.